Molecule: non-coding RNA, 77 nt
Organism: Xylariomycetidae sp. FL2044
Lineage: Eukaryota; Fungi; Ascomycota; Sordariomycetes
Source: the annotation of a GenBank genome assembly
CCUUCGGUGGUCUAGUGGUUAGGAUUCAACGUGCGUCGUGCCCGUUAAGAACGGGGGUUCGAAUCCCUCCCAAAGGG